UAAUACGGAGGGUGCAAGCGUUAUCCGGAUUUACUGGGUUUAAAGGGUGUGUAGGCGGGCUAGUAAGUCAGUGGUGAAAUCUCCGGGCUCAACCUGGAAACUGCCAUUGAUACUAUUAGUCUUGAAUUCUGUUGAGGUAGGCGGAAUAUGUCAUGUAGCGGUGAAAUGCUUAGAUAUGACAUAGAACACCAAUUGCGAAGGCAGCUUACUAAACAGACAUUGACGCUGAGGCACGAAAGCGUGGGGAUCAAACAGG
This 256-nucleotide ribosomal RNA is filed under the name uncultured archaeon. RNAcentral's name for it is "partial 16S ribosomal RNA". It matches the Rfam family "Bacterial small subunit ribosomal RNA", at positions 521 to 776 of the family's 1533-position model. The record is from RNAcentral.